Molecule: ribosomal RNA, 497 nt
Filed under: uncultured bacterium
Lineage: Bacteria
Description: partial 16S ribosomal RNA
Rfam family: Bacterial small subunit ribosomal RNA
Source: RNAcentral
GAUGAACGCUGGCGGCGUGCCUAAUACAUGCAAGUCGAGCGAACAGACGAGGAGCUUGCUCCUUUGACGUUAGCGGCGGACGGGUGAGUAACACGUGGAUAACCUACCUAUAAGACUGGGAUAACCUCGGGAAACCGGAGCUAAUACCGGAUAAUAUACUGAACCGCAUGGUUCAAUAGUGAAAGACGGCUUUGCUGUCUCUUAUAGAUGGAUCCGCGCCGCAUUAGCUAGUUGGUAAGGUCACGGCUUACCAAGGCUACGAUGCGUAGCCGACCUGAGAGGGUGAUCAGCCACACUGGAACUGAGACACGGUCCAGACUCCUACGGGAGGCAGCAGUAGGGAAUCUUCCGCAAUGGGCGGAAGCCUGACGGAGCAACGCCGCGUGAGUGAUGAAGGUCUUCGGAUCGUAAAACUCUGAUAUUAGGGAAGAACAAAUGUGUAAGUAACUAUGCGCGUCUUGACGGUACCUAAUCAGAAAGCCACGGCUAACUACGUG